AUUCAGGUGACGAGUCUCAAAUAGAACGAAACGCUCAUCCUGAAU
This 45-nucleotide non-coding RNA is filed under the name Schistosoma margrebowiei. Lineage: Eukaryota; Metazoa; Platyhelminthes; Trematoda; Strigeidida; Schistosomatidae. The record is from RNAcentral.